Molecule: long non-coding RNA, 168 nt
Organism: Solenopsis invicta (red fire ant)
Lineage: Eukaryota; Metazoa; Arthropoda; Insecta; Hymenoptera; Formicidae
Exons: 2
Source: RefSeq, a predicted model, not a curated record
CACGAAAAUGUACAUGCAGUCUUCCGAGUUACUCGUCAGCCCUGAUGAUCCAUCGAAUAUACAGGAAUGUAUGAUAGAUGUAGAAUCACCAGGGUCGAUUUAGAAGUAAUUGAAGGCUGGACGAAACAUAUGCAAUGUGUCGAACGUCACCAAAAACAAGAAAAAAAU